UACGUAGGGGGCAAGCGUUGUCCGGAAUUAUUGGGCGUAAAGAGCGUGUAGGCGGUCCGGUAAGUCAGCUGUGAAAGUCAAGGGCUCAACCCUUGAAUGCCGGUUGAUACUGUCGGGCUAGAGUCCGGAAGAGGCGAGUGGAAUUCCCGGUGUAGCGGUGAAAUGCGCAGAUAUCGGGAGGAACACCAGUGGCGAAGGCGGCUUCCUGGCCUGUUCUUGACGCUGAGGCGCGAAAGCUAGGGGAGCAAACGGG
This 253-nucleotide ribosomal RNA is filed under the name uncultured bacterium. Its description in RNAcentral is "partial 16S ribosomal RNA". It matches the Rfam family "Bacterial small subunit ribosomal RNA", at positions 524 to 776 of the family's 1533-position model. The record is from RNAcentral.